This is a long non-coding RNA of Dermacentor silvarum, 2799 nucleotides long. RefSeq lists it as uncharacterized. The record is from RefSeq and is a predicted model, not a curated record. Lineage: Eukaryota; Metazoa; Arthropoda; Arachnida; Ixodida; Ixodidae. The transcript is spliced from 4 exons.
GCUGAGUUCUAAGCGGUGAGGCGUGCUCGAAGCUUCGCGUCGCGGCUACUCCAAUUAUGACCUCAACUUCUGCAAGCCCGGUUACCCGGCUAGCACGACCCAUUGGUGCUCCUGGAAUGCAUAUGCUACGCCCGGUGGCCAUUUCAUUCCUUCUCAUGCAUGAGCUGUUACGUUUGACGCAAACGCUUCCGUUGCUGUCUCAAGUCGCGCCUGCAGUCAAGUUUUAUUUUGUUUGUGUGUGCCUGGGUAAUGAACUGACUGCGCCAAUCAACUGGAGAACAACGAAGCAGCUGUCGCCGCCACGUGCCUCCAAGCUAACCAACAAGGUGAAUCCCGUGCGGCCUAGUGACCGUGUCAGUACGACGGGGUGCAACGCAACCAAGUGACCGUGGCACUACUCCGAGGGACAACGGAGCAACCGUCGUCGCUACGUUCGAUCUUCGGCAGUUAUAUUCACCAGGUGCGAUUCUAGCUUGUGAGGGUGGCGCGGUUAUUAAAUCAACUAAUUGGCAAUGUUAACUGUUUAACUGAUUGGCAAGAGAAGGCCGCUGCCACAUUGGGUCGUCGUCGUGACGGAAGCGAAGAGGACUGGGUGGGGCGAUUGUAGCUUUAGGCUUAGCUAACACUCGGAAGGGUAGCUCGCACUGCGCAGGCUCCAGCUGGCAGGGGUCCUCUCUCGUUUGCGACACGGACAUCGGCCCAUUCCGAGUGCUAUUGCUUCCCGGUCAUAAUUUCGCGUGUCGGCGCGCGCCAAAUUCGCGUGUCGGCGCGCGCGAAAUGGGGAAGUAAAUUGCACCCGGAAUUAAUUAGUGCCAGGUUUCUUCCAGCAAAACAGAAGAAGAACGGACGUUGCCUACGGUCUGCAGCGCGGCGCGCUGCGGCGAAGACGGUGGUGGGUGGCCAAUUUUCUUUUUUUUUUGUCUUCCGUAUGUUCUCGUCCCUAUUGCUGUGUCACGCCGUGCUUUCGUCGCUCGACAAGCCAACCACCGUGGAUUGGUCCCACCGCCCAAUCCAGCGAUAUGACGCUUGUCUUGGUGAGUACCUGCUUUCUGGUUACUUCCCUCAUUUAACAAGUGCCCCCUCCCCCCUUUUUUUAUCCAGAUAUGUAACCUGUGCCUUGGCCCCUGGCACCCAGUUCCUGCACCCGGCCGUGUCUCGCACAGAUGACGUUCAGCAGCUGAUCGUGUGUUCACUUCUGUUCCUGCCUCACUGCUAUUGUGUCCGGGUGACGGAAGAUGCCUGCAAUCCCCGCCCUGCAGAACUUCCACUGCACGCCGUGUCUCGCGCAGAUGACGUUCAACACCUGUCUGUCGUCCAGCAGCUGAUCGUGUCUUCACUUCUGUUCCUGCCUCACUGCUAUUGAGUCCUGGUGAAUUAGGAUGCCUGCAAUCCAAGCCCUGCAGAACGUCGACUGCACCUAAUCUGCAACCCUACAUCUGCGGCCCAUCAAGGUCUGUCCCACCAGCGUAGUAGGCAAUGACACCAAGUACAGACCGCAGGGAGGAAGGCGUUGCUCUCGCCACUCAUCGCAUUGCUGCUCCCGAAGGCGUCGUGCUGCAGGACACGUUCUUCUCUGCCUCGACGAGGCCUCAAAACUAUGAAGUCCCAAGAAACAGCACAACGUCGCAUGACAUGAUCAUCUAACAUCCCGGUUCGAGUUGUUUGUUCCACCCUAUAGCAGUGCGACGGCCACUCGAUGAAGUCGCACGUUAUUCAAUGACUUUGACCGUAUGAUGUGGGUAGAGAAAGCCCAGGUAACAUGCUGUUCUAGCUCGCCGUAGUAGUACACUGCUCAUACUCUAGCAUUAUGUUGAUCUGGGGAUUCUUGCUUAUUACGUUCAUUGACAUGCUGUGCUUUUGUAAUGGUAUACUGAUGCUGGUUUGCGUUGCGGAAGUGUGUGUGUGUGUGUGUGUGUGUGUGUGCGCGCGCAUCCGUAUGAGUGUGUGUGUGUGUGUGUGCGCGCGCAUCCGUAUGAGUGUGUGUGUGUGUGCGCGCGCAUCCGUAUGAGUGUGUGUGUGUGUGCGCGCGCAUCCGUAUGAGUGUGUGUGUGUGUGUGCGCGCGCAUCCGUAUGAGUGUGUGUGUGUGUGUGCGCGCGCAUCCGUAUGAGUGUGUGUGUGUGUGUGCGCGCGCAUCCGUAUGUGUGUGUGUGCGUGCGCGCGCGCGCGCGCGUUCGUAUGCUCCUGCGCUCAUUUCAUCUGGUAGUUAACAUCAUUCUGGCGGGGGUGCGUUUCCUAUUCAUCCACGAAUUGUUUGACUGGUUUCUUGCAAUUGGUGACAUCCUUCAGUAAGCUCGUUGAAUGUUCAGUAGUGAUGGUUGCAAAUUGUUUCGGCUACUCUUGCAACGUACAACUGGUCCACUCACAUAUUUAGUUUUGGCAAUUGUCAAAUACUUUGGUAUUCCAAUGCAUUUCUAUUGGUAUCUUUUCCUUAUUCACAUAUUCUUGGUCUUUCAAGUGACUCAUUAUGGACAAUGCAAAACAGCCUCAAUGUACCCUAACAUAAAGCACGUGGUCUGAAAUAAAGGCAUUAAAUCUUAUUAUUAUGAGCGCAUCCUUUGAAAUCUUGUGCUGGCAUGGCACCGAGCUCUUACAUUUUUACCUGUGUGCUUUCAUUAAUGAUGCUGGUAAUAAAGCAGCGUACCACUCGCAAGUCAAGGCAGGUUCUGGAUCGCUCUUCGGAUAACACGACCACACAUGCCUGCCGUGUUCAACAAACUGUUUUGUCACAGUUCCUUUUGUUCUACGUGAGUGUUCACUGCCCUGUGCAAAUUUACCUGCCUGUGUUGAUUUAGUGGACA